This 237-nucleotide unclassified non-coding RNA is filed under the name plant metagenome. RNAcentral describes it as "partial contains small subunit ribosomal RNA, internal transcribed spacer 1, and 5.8S ribosomal RNA". The record is from RNAcentral.
UCUCCGUAGGUGAACCAGCGGAAGGAUCAUUACCGAGGGUGGGUUUCACAGGCCCUACGUCCCAUACUGCUUUCUGCUUACCCUGUUCCUUUGGCGGGUCCGCCCCGACGCCCCUCCGCCGCCAGCUCACCGCCUUCGCCCCGUGCCGCCCCGUACCCCCCUUAUACUCCUAAUAAACCUGUCGUCUGUGCCUAGACAAACAAAAAAAAACUUUCAACAACGGAUCUCUUGGUUCUG